AUGGUCGAGGCGGAGGCGGUCGACGUCGGACGUGGAGGCGUAGUCCGGGUACAUGGAGAGGAAGGUGGCUAUGGCGUGGGCGAGGAGCGGCAGGUCGGAGAUGGAGCGGAAGGGGCCGGCGGCGGCGGCGAGGGCGGUGGCGCGGAGGAAGUCGCGCUGCGCCCGCAGGCGCGCCAGGGAGCGGGAGCGCGUGACGGCGGCGUCCUCCUCGGCGCCGGCGGCGUCGGGCGGCGGGCAGAGGGCGCCCUCCUCCGACGCGGCGUCCAGCGCGUCGCGCAGCUGCCGGAGGAACGACGCCGGGUCGUCCCGCCGGCCGUUGCCGCCUCCAUGCCCGCCGCCGCCGCCUCCACCUCCACCGCGCCGCCGGUGGUUCUUGGAGAGGAGGAUGGCGGCGCAGUGGGAGAGCGGCUUCCACAGGGAGAGAUGCAUGUGCCGCCCCCCGAGCUGUCGGAUCGACGACGGGGAAACCAACUGCGUGCGUCGCGGCUGGGAUCAGCGGGCGCGGCGAGGCAUGGGGAUGGGGCUGACCGGAAAACCCCGAGAUUUCUGGGUGGGUGGUGGGAUUUCGGAUCAGCGGGCGCGGAGAAAACUGCGGCUCGGCUCCGGGUGGGGAAGGGAAGGGAAAGAAAACCGGAUCUUCCGCCGGGGGGGAGAAAAUGGGGGAUCAGAAAUGUCAGAGCCCUCAACCAAGAACAGUGGCCGGCCGGCUGCGGGUGCAGAAAUCUCAGGUUCUCCUUGGGUUUGAGGCGGGGAAACCGCGGAUUUUCUCGGAGAGGAGAAGAAAUGGAGGAGGGUGGGGAGGGCUUGAAAUGCAAUGACACGCUCCGCCUUUCCCAGCAAAAAGGAGAGGGCUUUGGCUUUUGGCAGGACCAAGAACUCAAAUUAAAGAAGAAGGAUAGAAAGGAAGAUAGAAACCUCAGCAAAGAUUUGACUCCACUCUCCUUGCUUUUGCACACCACCACCACCAAGAAGAACUCAUCAAUGCUCUCUCAAACCAGUGGAAAUCCAGCAAGAGCAAGGUCACUCAGAUCCUCCCCGCUCUCACCAAACUCGUCGCGAGUGGUUUGGAGCGCACUAAAUGCGUUGGUAUCAUGA
RNAcentral lists this ribosomal RNA (1095 nucleotides) under Triticum aestivum (bread wheat). RNAcentral's name for it is "partial small subunit ribosomal RNA". Lineage: Eukaryota; Viridiplantae; Streptophyta; Magnoliopsida; Poales; Poaceae. The record is from RNAcentral.